GCGCGCUCCACGGGCCACAGUUCGCUCCCGGCCGCGCAGCACUCGCCCCGCUCUACCCGCCGCACCGCCGCCGCACCGCUGCCGCGUGCUGGCUCCAGUCAAAGCAUUCAGUGAACAAAGUAUGGACUUGACGUGUUCAUGCGUGACCAGAGUGACCUACCUCGCGUGCUGUAAACAUAUUCUAGUGGCAGAAGUUCAGAAGUAAUUGGAAAUUAAAAUGAAUGGACAUUCUGAUGCUUCUACAUCCACGGAUGACGUGAAGAGUCGCCCGCUGUGCCUGUUCUACUUCACACACCCGUUCGGCGUGCUGUCUCCGGAGCCUCCCUGCGUGACGGCGGCGCCUCCUCACGUCGCACGCGCCUUCCUCAACAUGCAGCCAGUGUCGCCCUUCGACUUGUGGUCGUCGACCUCCGACCCCUCGUACAACACCGACACCAGUGACAGCUCGAGGCCUGCAUAUGACCUGGGCAACGUGACCGUCCACAAGAGUCCCGUCAACCUCAUCAGUCUCAGUAAGGCUCAACACUCAGUCGACUUCGCGCGGCCCGACUCCAUCUCGUCGUCCUUGUUCUCGAGCGACAUCUGGUUCAACUCCGGCUCCACCUCGCGAAGCAACGAGUGUUCCCGCCGGGUGAUACCGUACAACAGGAUCCUGCCUCCGCUGCAGAUGACGCGGACCAUCUCCGACUUGCGCAGUCCCGAGGAGCUCUGGCCAAAAAAAUGUUUGAAUCCGGAGAAGUUUUCGUUACCGCCGAUAGAGUUACCAGCGUUGCGCGAGGAAACGCCGGCAGUCGAGGAGACCUUGCCUGUGAGCGACGGGAGGAAGACGCGGAUCCGCCGCCGGGAGGGCGUCGUCAAGGUCAGGUGCCGGCGGCGGGUCGGUGACGCGAGGAGAGUGCUCGUUUGCCUCAUGCGAAGAGUUAUCCGAGGAGGUGAGGAGAGCAGUCCGUCGCCGGCGCUGCGGGAGGUGCUUCAGAUCAUCCGCGAGGCCUGGACCGAGCCCACUUCGUUGUUCGAUCGCUGCGCGCCGCGCCCGAGCCGAGCCCGCUCCCCCGCCGCCCCCGCCCCCGCCGGCGCCAUGCUGUCCCGCGACGCGUCCCCCGGCCUGCUGCGGCGACGGUACUCCGUGCCCGAAACCAUCAUGAGGAGGUAUCGAGUGGUACAGCAGCGGACCGAAUGUGAAGAGAGCACGGCGGGCUCCGCGGGGUCGGGCUCCGGCGCGGGACGAGGUGUGUCCUCCGCCUGCGCCACGCCCCACCCGGCCCGCGACCGCGAGCUCAUGCGCAAGUCUGCUCUCCUGAGGCGGAUGUGGGGCCGCGCGCCUCCAGCCUGCUGCCGCUGCUGCUGCGACCAGCUGUCGGCGCGACCCUCGCGCUCCCUGGACGGAUCCCACGCCGAGCUGCGACCGCGCCGCGACCCCGUCCUCUCCGCUUCCACAUACCGCUCGCACGAGGCGAGGGGAAUUUCUUCCUGCGUCGACACUGUGACCGAUACAGAUGCUUGGCGCUCCGAAGAUCAGGCACCCUCUUUGCUGGACGAGACCGUCACGGCAGAGAUCGAAUCGGCUUCAGGGCUGCCCCCGAGCAGCGAGUCAGCGCCGAGGAUACCGUCAUCUAUUUCGACGAGCCUCAGUACGGGACAGAACACCGAGAUGUGUGUUGUUUCUCCCGCUGCCGACGCGCGCGGGACGCCACCUAUGCACAUCGAAAACGCUUUACUGUUAUCGAGUAAUACAUUAGUAGAUUCAGAGGCACCAUCACUAUCCGAAGUGCUGGAAAUAGUUGUGACGGAGACCUCGGAACCGAAGGUCGUUCCCUGUCUGCGCCCCGCCGCCCCAAGAUCUCAACCUACCACUCGCCUCGACAUCGACCGUUACGUCUCAGAUGUUCUGGUGGAGAGCUUGAACUCUCUGUCAGAUCGCCUGGAGUGCGUCACGGGUUCAGUAGAAGGCGACGGAAAGAUCAGUAUCGUUGAGAAAGAAAUAAAAGUGAGACUGCACAGUACCGGAGUGAACACCAUAGUUCACCUGAGCCCGACCUCCAAUCAUCAAAUAAUAUUUGGUAACGAGGAGCUGUGCGACGGCGCUGAGCGUGACGCCUGCAAUAACUUGCGCGGCUCCCCCCGCAUCCGGGAUGAUACCUCCUUUGAUGACGAACGAAACAACAACCGAGCUGCCUCGGCCGCCACUACACCUGCCCCCUCGUCCCCUUGUCGACGGUAUCACGACGAGACAUUCGGGGAGCUCUUACAGCACGAUAAUGUUAACAAAACGGUUUUGCAACAGAUUCAAAAAUUGUUCAAAGAAGAACUUCAGAGUCUCGGCGCCGGCCUCAGCUGUCCAGACAACGUCACGUCCGGUAUAUCACACAUUGAAAUCUCUAACGUAGACGUCUUCUUGGAUGAGAACGACGUACCCACCGUCGAGGUGGCUGACUCGAGUAACAGUCAUCAGCAGCACUCCGAGCUACAAGUGUUAAGCGGAGUCGGAACCGGCAGCUAUUUUGAAACAAGCGAGGGAGCCCUAGUGGUACCGCGCUUCUCAGCGCUACCCCACAGUGAUUCGAUGGAGGUGAACACCUCUUCAUCCGAAGAAGCCGAUCUCAUCGGUUCGGAUUGUACGAGUCUUGUCGACAGCCUCGACGACCCCAACUCGCCGCGGUCUGUUUUAUUGCGAAGAUCCUUCAACAACCGGAAGAGUGAGCUUGUGCGGUCCGCCCUCGACGUCCUAGACCUCUUGCCAGAGAGCACUCGGGACGAACGUAACGAUAAGCCUGAAUCAUUUUUUAUAAGAAUCAAAGAUGACAAUUGUGAAUGUGACAAAGAAAACUUUAACGUGGCCGACCGCAUGCCCGAGAAGAUAAGAGAGAGAUUGUUCCGUCGUCACCGACGCAGGCAGCUCCGGGCGGAGUGCGCGAGACGCAGCAGAGGGAAGCAGUUGCGAAUUGACGCGGACAACCAACAGAAAGACGAACCCUCCAAAACUAAAAGGGAGAUUGAAAGAGAAUGCGUUGCGAUCAUUAAUUCUCUUAUCGAUGAAGUGAUUGCAAAAAUUGCAAAAGAAGAAUUUAAAUGUGCACGCAUCAAAAGAAAAUCCGAACGCCGUGCGCCCACAAAAUGUGAGGAAAAUUCAUCUAAGAAGAAUCGCAAGAAGAAUUUGCGAUCUUCAGACCCAACACUAAGUGCUGCAGCGAAAGUAAGUCCGAAUAGAGUAGGUGUCGUCGGGGACAGUCGACAGACAGAAGAGAAACACAAAGUUCACGGGAAAUUAUCGCUAAUGACGCGCCCAGCUCUAAACCUCGUCGACGCUGCUCCAAGACGCAUCUACCAAAAGUCUGAGAUCCUCGAAGGCAACAAAUGUAUCGAAAUACUAGAAAUAGUUGAGUAUAUGAAUGACACACAGAGCAAUCCCGACACAGUCGUAUCUGAUGACAGCCCCGGGGGUGCGACUCGCGGCGGACGGAGAUCCCGCAUCCCGGUACCAGUACCCGAAAGGCAUCAGCGCUCAUAUCCAUCCGAACCGCGACGUAUAUCCAACAGCGCAGACAACUCGCCGGCGUCUCCACAGGAUGCACAUACAGAAGACCCACUCAGCGGGGGCCGGCGGCGUCGUGCGAGCGAUGGAGAUCUGAGAACAGUUGGUGUGGACCCUCCGACUUCGCGACGAGUUUUUUUCCCACCUUCGAUGGACAGUAGGCCGCGCUCCGAUUCUUUAAGAUUUCAUCGAGUUUUCGACAUCAUCCCUGAGGAGCGCAGCAGUCUUAGCGUGGACUCGUCACCAGAGGUGGAGCGUGUAUCCACGACCUCAUCCGUCGCGGCCCCUCACCCCUCACCUGCACCCCGCACGAGAUCGGUGGCCACGUCGCCUCUCGGGGCAGGGAGUGUGGGGGUCGCGGCACCCCUAAGAGUGAAAGGCGGGGACAGACCACGGAGAGCGCGCGUCUGGGCACCAAUAAGUCGUCGCGAAGAAGGUGUCCGAAAUAGCAUGGACAAGGGGACCCGAGCGGAGCCGGUGGUAGGCGCAAACCCGACGCCCAAACGUGAUAAUAAAACAAAAACUGAGAAGAAGACAAUCUUCAGUAAGCUAGGUGAACGACAUAAGCCUGUCCACUCGGAUCUUAAGAAUCAUGUCGAGGAAGCAACAAAACCCAUUACUAAUGUACAAGAAAAAAAACCUUUCGACCAGCAUCCGAGAAAAAGUGAAGGGGAGUCUAGUCUGGGGACAGAGCUUGCACCGGGAUCCGAAGGCGAGGUCGAGAGUUCAAGUGAGGGCUCUGAACGAGACGGCGGGCUGCUGUGCUCGCGCUGGCGGAGGACGCACAGACGACGACGGAGCCACGCGAUGUCGCACCGAGACUCAGGCGGCGUGUGGUGGUCGCAGGCGGGUGGUCAGUGACGGUGGCGGGCUCGUGUCCAGGUGCGCUGCCCGCCGACGUGGAGAUGCGCCUCCGCUUCCCACAACCGCAUCAGACUCAUCCAACCCAACCGCCUUACCAGAGAUGCUCUUGUCGAACACGUGUGAGCUGUGCGUGCUCAGCGGCUACUGAGCGCGUCUGCAGCCCCACCCCCGUCUCCGCCGCGACCCUGCCCCCGCCAGCGCGCCGCCGCC
Molecule: unclassified non-coding RNA, 4606 nt
Filed under: Bombyx mandarina (wild silkworm)
Lineage: Eukaryota; Metazoa; Arthropoda; Insecta; Lepidoptera; Bombycidae
Description: uncharacterized LOC114251416, transcript variant X7
Source: RNAcentral